UACGUAGGGGGCAAGCGUUAUCCGGAAUCAUUGGGCGUAAAGAGCUCGUAGGCGGUUUGUCGCGGCGGCCGGGAAAGUCCGGGGCUUAACCCCGGAUCUGCGGUGGGUACGGGCAGACUAGAGUGCAGUAGGGGAGACCGGAAUUCCUGGUGUAGCGGUGAAAUGCGCAGAUAUCAGGAGGAACACCGAUGGCGAAGGCAGGUCUCUGGGCUGUUACUGACGCUGAGGAGCGAAAGCAUGGGGAGCGAACAGG
This 253-nucleotide unclassified non-coding RNA is filed under the name uncultured Micrococcaceae bacterium. RNAcentral describes it as "contains 16S-23S intergenic spacer region". It matches the Rfam family "Bacterial small subunit ribosomal RNA", at positions 524 to 776 of the family's 1533-position model. The record is from RNAcentral. Lineage: Bacteria; Bacillati; Actinomycetota; Actinomycetes; Micrococcales; Micrococcaceae.